This 933-nucleotide non-coding RNA is filed under the name Laticauda laticaudata (blue-ringed sea krait). Lineage: Eukaryota; Metazoa; Chordata; Lepidosauria; Squamata; Elapidae. The record is from RNAcentral.
CAAGGUCUUGGUCUUAAACCUCUCGUUAUCUAAACUUCAUACUUAUACAUGCAAGCCUCAUCAUAACAGUGAAACUGCCCACUACAACAACUAGACGGAGCCGGUAUCAGGCUAAUAGCCCACGACACCAAGCAAUAAAGCCACGUCCCCACGGACUCGCAGCAGUAGUUAAUAUUUAGCCAUAAGCGAAAGCUUGACCCAAUAAUGAGGUUCUUUUAAGGGCCGGUUAAUCUCGUGCCAGCGACCGCGGUUAAACGACAGACCCAAGAUAACACCCACGGCGUAAAGCACGACUAAAACCACGUUAUCCUAUUAAGGGUAAAACUAUGCUGGGUUGUAAAAAACCAUAAGCUACACUAAAUAUAAACCUUAAUACCAAACAAAUUUGACUCGUGAAAGCUAGGACACAAACUAAGAUUAGAUACCUUACUAUGCCCAGCCAUAACCAAGUAGCCAAAUAACUAUCUACUCGCCAAAUAACUACGAGUUAUAACUUAAAAUUUAAAAGACUUGACGGUACUUCACACCAACCUAGAGGAGCCUGUCUAAUAAACCGAUAAUCCACGAUUAACCCAACCUACUCUAGCCCAAUCAGUCUAUAUACCGCCGUCGACAGCUUACCUUAUGAAAGAAACAAAGUAAGCUCAAUAAUAGCACACUAACACGACAGGUCGAGGUGUAACUAAUGAGUGGGAUCAAGAUGGGCUACACUUUCUAAUACAGAAAAAACGAACAGACUAUGAAACUAGAAACCGAAGGUGGAUUUAGCAGUAAGUUAAGAAUAAACACACAUAACCGAAGAUAAUGCAAUGAAGUGCGCACACACCGCCCGUCAUCCCUGUGAGACUUAAAAAAACAUCCAUAAACAACCGCCUAUCUAUUAAACAGGGCAAGUCGUAACACGGUAAGCGUACUGGAAAGUGCGCUUAGAAA